RNAcentral lists this ribosomal RNA (301 nucleotides) under uncultured bacterium. RNAcentral describes it as "partial 16S ribosomal RNA". It matches the Rfam family "Bacterial small subunit ribosomal RNA", at positions 509 to 807 of the family's 1533-position model. The record is from RNAcentral.
CAGUCGCCACGGUAACACGUAGGGUGCAAGCGUUAAUCGGAAUUACUGGGCGUAAAGCGUGCGCAGGCGGUUAUAUAAGACAGAUGUGAAAUCCCCGGGCUCAACCUGGGAACUGCAUUUGUGACUGUAUAGCUAGAGUACGGCAGAGGGGGAUGGAAUUCCGCGUGUAGCAGUGAAAUGCGUAGAUAUGCGGAGGAACACCGAUGGCGAAGGCAAUCCCCUGGGCCUGUACUGACGCUCAUGCACGAAAGCGUGGGGAGCAAACAGGAUUAGAUACCCCGGUAGUCCCUGUCUCUUAUAC